This 213-nucleotide long non-coding RNA is filed under the name Lathyrus oleraceus (garden pea). RNAcentral describes it as "Pisum sativum (pea) long non-coding RNA (PSAT_LNC003028)". The record is from RNAcentral. Lineage: Eukaryota; Viridiplantae; Streptophyta; Magnoliopsida; Fabales; Fabaceae.
UCCAUUUAUCAUUUGCUAUGUGAUUGACUUAGGCCAUGACUCAUUUAGGUAACUUUUGACCAUAUGCAUAAUAUUGAAUAAGUAGAUAGCCAAGCUCAUUUAGAAAGUGGUGUGAAUCUUGGAGCUUUGGUUCACAUGGAAAGCAUCAUAUAUUUUCAUAAGGGGGAGAUCAAUCCCUCUUCCCCAAAUCCUUACCUCUUCGAUUGGCCUUCA